AGAUUGAACGCUAGCGGGAUGCUUUACACAUGCAAGUCGAACGGCAGCGCGGACUUCGGUCUGGCGGCGAGUGGCGAACGGGUGAGUAAUAUAUCGGAACGUGCCCAGUAGCGGGGGAUAACUACGCGAAAGCGUGGCUAAUACCGCAUACGCCCUACGGGGGAAAGGGGGGGAUCGCAAGACCUCUCACUAUUGGAGCGGCCGAUAUCAGAUUAGCUAGUUGGUGAGGUAAAGGCUCACCAAGGCGACGAUCUGUAGCUGGUUUGAGAGGACGACCAGCCACACUGGGACUGAGACACGGCCCAGACUACCGUACGGGAGGCAGCGAGU
Molecule: ribosomal RNA, 330 nt
Filed under: uncultured soil bacterium
Lineage: Bacteria
Description: bacterial SSU rRNA
Rfam family: Bacterial small subunit ribosomal RNA
Source: RNAcentral